This 99-nucleotide transfer RNA is filed under the name Choloepus hoffmanni (Hoffmann's two-fingered sloth). RNAcentral describes it as "tRNA-Und (NNN) (tRNA-Und-NNN-1-1)". It matches the Rfam family "tRNA". From Rfam's summary of the family: Transfer RNA (tRNA) molecules are approximately 80 nucleotides in length. Their secondary structure includes four short double-helical elements and three loops (D, anti-codon, and T loops). The record is from RNAcentral. Lineage: Eukaryota; Metazoa; Chordata; Mammalia; Pilosa; Megalonychidae.
GUCAGGAUGGCCGAGUGGUCUAAGGCUCAAGCUUUCGCUUCCCUUAUCGGGGCUUCUGGUCUCCGUAUGGAGGCGUGGGUUCGAAUCCCACUUCUGACA